GAUGAAGAACGUAGCGAAAUGCGAUACUUGGUGUGAAUUGCAGAAUCCCGUGAACCAUCGAGUCUUUGAACGCAAGUUGCGCCCGAAGCCAUCAGGUUGAGGGCACGUCUGCCAGGGCGUCACAUAUCGUUGCCCAAUGCCUAUUGCAGUGCAAUAGGAAUUUCUAGGGCGAAUGAUGGCUUCCCGUGAGCGUUGUUGCCUCGCGGUUGGUUGAAAAUCGAGUCCUUGGUAGGGUGUGCCAUGGUAGAUGGUGGUCGAGUUAGAACGAUACCGAUCAUGUGCAUGCUCCCCAAAAUAUGGCCUCUAUGACCCACACGCGUCUUUUGACGCUCAUGACGAGACCUCAGGUCAGGCGGGGCUACCCGCUGAAUUUAAGCAUAUCAAUAAGCGGAGGA
RNAcentral lists this unclassified non-coding RNA (395 nucleotides) under soil metagenome. RNAcentral's name for it is "partial contains 5.8S ribosomal RNA, internal transcribed spacer 2, and large subunit ribosomal RNA". The stretch from base 1 to 122 matches the Rfam family "5.8S ribosomal RNA", at positions 35 to 154 of the family's 154-position model. The record is from RNAcentral.